RNAcentral lists this ribosomal RNA (466 nucleotides) under Vreelandella stevensii. RNAcentral's name for it is "partial 16S ribosomal RNA". It matches the Rfam family "Bacterial small subunit ribosomal RNA", at positions 338 to 795 of the family's 1533-position model. The record is from RNAcentral. Lineage: Bacteria; Pseudomonadati; Pseudomonadota; Gammaproteobacteria; Oceanospirillales; Halomonadaceae.
CCUACGGGUGGCAGCAGUGGGGAAUAUUGGACAAUGGGCGAAAGCCUGAUCCAGCCAUGCCGCGUGUAUGAAGAAGGCCUUCGGGUUGUAAAGCACUUUCAGUGGGGAAGAAAGCCUUGGGGCUAAUACCCUCGAGGAAGGACAUCACCCACAGAAGAAGCACCGGCUAAACUCCGUGCCAGCAGCCGCGGUAAUACGGAGGGUGCGAGCGUUAAUCGGAAUUACUGGGCGUAAAGCGCGCGUAGGCGGUCUGAUAAGCCGGUUGUGAAAGCCCCGGGCUCAACCUGGGAACGGCAUCCGGAACUGUCAGGCUAGAGUGCAGGAGAGGAAGGUAGAAUUCCCGGUGUAGCGGUGAAAUGCGUAGAGAUCGGGAGGAAUACCAGUGGCGAAGGCGGCCUUCUGGACUGACACUGACGCUGAGGUGCGAAAGCGUGGGUAGCAAACAGGAUUAGAUACCCCUGUAGUC